CUGAAUCGAAGACUUUGGGAGACUACUUUGCAGCGACAGUUGAUACAUAUUGCGUCUAACGGGUGACCUCGACGAGCCCGCAUGAAAUUAUCGUUCCAUAGCCUAGAUCAGUCAAAGUCCAUAGAAAACAAAAUUAGAAAACUAGGGCAAAAAAAAUUCCAUACUAGAUUAGACGGUGCAUGCACAAGAAGGGUGAGAUGUGGCGAUGUGAUUACUACCUCGAAUUUUAACUGCAGUUAUGUGCUUUGCCGCUGUCGAUCUGCAAUUGUAUGCUUGCCGCCGGCGUUUGAGGAGGCGGGGACCAAGCGGCGGCGAACAUAAGACAGGACGAGACGAGCAGAGGGAGGAAAGUUGGGGGGAAGCGAAGAGGCCGGCGGCUACCGUCAUGGUACAGGCUAUAGAUCGCCAAUAAACUAAAUCAUUGAUAAGUAACGAACAUGCCUCCUAGUGGGCACGAGAGACAAUUUGUACGGGGGCUUAUAGGCCUUUUUACUGGUCCAUUCACGUGGGCUUUGCAGCUUGAUGGGGUCAGGCUUAAUUUUCUAUUGGGUUCAUAUCAAAUAAGUCGUACAUACAUGCACGUAGCCGGCAAAUUUUAUUGGGUUCAACUGAACCCAAUGCCAAUACGUUGGCUCCGCCCCUG
This 643-nucleotide long non-coding RNA is filed under the name Triticum aestivum (bread wheat). Its description in RNAcentral is "long non-coding RNA (TAES_LNC027894)". Lineage: Eukaryota; Viridiplantae; Streptophyta; Magnoliopsida; Poales; Poaceae. The record is from RNAcentral.